GUUUGCUCAUGGGAAUUUAAAAAUGCUUCGUAAAUUGUAAUAUGCGUAAUAUGCAUUCGUGGGUUUAGUACUUUAUGCCUGACAUAACAAGUUUACGCUGAGUAUUACCAUUCAUUAUAGCAGUUAUGUGCUAGGGCAUUGAAUAUCGAACAAUACGUCAAUUUCAAUGAUUUUGGGUUUUUUUGAGACACCCUGUAUAUCUGCAGUGACAACUCCUAAAGGCAGAAUAAUUUAGUCCAAUACCGUUAAAUUAAUCACUACAGUGUGUAUAAAAAAAGUACAGCCUUUCAAAUAUAAAUCAAGCAUAACGCCGUAUUCUAUUGAAUUAAUCUGACAAGCUAUACAGGGUGUAUAAAAAAAAACGCAACCUCGGAAUUUCUCAAGAAAUCGACAUGGUUUUAAAGACAAAAGAUUUUAGGCGCCUGGGAAUUUAAAAUGUCAAAAUUAUUGCACACGCGAGUGCAUAAAGCAAAAUUUAUGCAUUUAUUUAAUGCACAAGAACAGUAAUAAGAUCUAUUAGCAAUUCGAUUUCAAUUCCCAGGGGCUUAAAAUCUUUUAUGCUUAAGAAUUACAAAGUGAUUUCUUAGGAAAUUCCGAGGUUGCGUUUUUUUUUUAUACACCCUGUACUGUACAAGAAAUUGACAUUGUUUUAAGGACAAAAGAUUUUACGUCCCUGGGAAUUUAAAAUGGCACAACUGUCAAAAUUACUGCACACGCGAGUGCAUAAAGUAAAAUUUAUGCAUUUAUUUAAUGACACUUAAUAAGUUUUAAUCUUACAAGUACAGCACAACAACAGUUAAAUUAUCAUGCAGGGGCCUUGUCAGAUGUAGGCUAAUAUGAUAUACAGGGUGAGUAAAAAAAACUGACACCUUUGUUAUUCAAAUUAGCCGCGAAGGUAUCACUUUUUUUUACUCACCCUGUACUGUAUUACUAUUAGCAAUUCGAUUUCAUUUCCCAGGGGCCUAAAAUGUUUUAUGCUUAAGAAUUGCAGAGUGGAUUUCUUAGGAAAUUCCAAGGUUGCGUUUUUUUCUUAUACACCCUGUACACACUGUGUAAUUGCUUCGAAGAAGUUAGCGAGCCGUAAAACAAAAGACUUUCUAUUUAUGGGACAUCUACGAACAACUCAAUGAAAUACCCUGUACAAAACAAGCAGCAUUAAAAUGAAGUUAUAAUUGAUCUCUUUUGUAAAUAAGACGUGUUUUCGUCGCGUAUCAUUAAUUCAAAGCAGUUGAGAAGACUUCAGAACAAUCAAUGAAAUCAUGCACUUAUAAUUAUCGUUAAUUUGAAUUUGAAAGGCUAUAUACUUUUUUAUAUACUCACUGCCAGGGUGUCCCCAAAAAACGCAAAACUAUUGAAAUAACGUAUUGUUAGAAUUUGAAUGCCCUAGCACUAAGCUGAACGCAAAGAUGCCUAAAAU
This is a non-coding RNA of Paramuricea clavata, 1417 nucleotides long. NCBI's taxonomy places the organism in Eukaryota, Metazoa, Cnidaria, Anthozoa, Malacalcyonacea, Plexauridae. The record is from the annotation of a GenBank genome assembly.